AUGGGGAAUCUUCCGCAAUGGGCGAAAGCCUGACGGAGCAAUACCGCGUGAGGGAGGAAGGCUCUUGGGUUGUAAACCUCUUUUCUCAGGGAAGAACACAAUGACGGUACCUGAGGAAUCAGCAUCGGCUAACUCCGUGCCAGCAGCCGCGGUAAUACGGAGGAUGCAAGCGUUAUCCGGAAUGAUUGGGCGUAAAGCGUCCGCAGGUGGCUGUGUAAGUCUGCUGUCAAAGAGCAAAGCUCAACUUUGUAAAGGCAGUGGAAACUACACGGCUAGAGUGCGUUCGGGGCAGAGGGAAUUCCUGGUGUAGCGGUGAAAUGCGUAGAGAUCAGGAAGAACACCGGUGGCGAAGGCGCUCUGCUAGGCCGCAACUGACACUGAGGGACGAAAGCUAGGGGAGCGAAUGGGAUUAGAUACCCCAGUAGUCCUAGCUGUAAACGAUGGAUACUAGGCGUGGCUUGUAUCGACCCGAGCCGUGCCGUAGCUAACGCGUUAAGUAUCCCGCCUGGGGAGUACGCACGCAAGUGUGAAACUCAAAGGAAUUGACGGGGGCCCGCACAAGCGGUGGAGUAUGUGGUUUAAUUUGAUGCAUCGCGAAAAACCUUACCAAGGCUUGACAUGUCGCGAACUCUUCUUAAAGGAAGAGGUGCCUUCGGGGGCGCGAACACGAGGUGGUGCAUGAAGCUCUCA
Molecule: ribosomal RNA, 690 nt
Filed under: Anabaena sphaerica RPAN2
Lineage: Bacteria; Bacillati; Cyanobacteriota; Cyanophyceae; Nostocales; Nostocaceae
Also listed under: 1 other name
Description: bacterial SSU rRNA
Rfam family: Bacterial small subunit ribosomal RNA
Source: RNAcentral